This 302-nucleotide ribosomal RNA is filed under the name Symbiodinium sp. clade A. RNAcentral describes it as "partial Bacterial small subunit ribosomal RNA". It matches the Rfam family "Bacterial small subunit ribosomal RNA", at positions 1082 to 1385 of the family's 1533-position model. Lineage: Eukaryota; Dinophyceae; Suessiales; Symbiodiniaceae. The record is from RNAcentral.
AAGUCCCGCAACGAGCGCAACCCUCGCCCUUAGUUGCCAUCAUUAAGUUGGGCACUCUAGGGAGACUGCCGGUGACAAACCGGAGGAAGGUGGGGACGACGUCAAGUCAUCAUGGCCCUUACGCCCAGGGCUACACACGUGCUACAAUGGCUGGUACAGAAGGCAGCGAAGCCGCGAGGUGGAGCAAAUCCCAAAAGCCAGUCUCAGUUCGGAUUGCAGCCUGCAACUCGGCUGCAUGAAGCCGGAAUUGCUAGUAAUGGCGUGUCAGCAAUAACGCCGUGAAUACGUUCCCGGGCCUUGUA